Molecule: non-coding RNA, 2004 nt
Organism: Petromyzon marinus (sea lamprey)
Lineage: Eukaryota; Metazoa; Chordata; Hyperoartia; Petromyzontiformes; Petromyzontidae
Source: RefSeq, a predicted model, not a curated record
UAUAAGGCUUAUCAAUCAAAAGCGGCUGUCAAAAAAAGACUUGGCCCAACAACCGAAGUCAGUCGAGCGAUUGAUUUUUUUUUUCGGGAGGCAAGCCCCCUCCUCCUCCCCCUCCCACCCACUUCUCUCGCAGACGGGCGCGAGCCUUUCAUUCUCCUUCAUCCACCAGUCAUCAUCGGCGCGCUGGACCUCCUGAAUCUUCUGCCAAAUAUAGCCGGGCGUAUCUGCCCGUCGCGGCCGAUACGCUCAUUAUGUCACCAUCAUUGGCCGCUGGAUGAAGGCCCCUCCGCAAGCUGCAGAUAUCAAGCCCAGUCGAACCCCGGUGACCUGCAAUUGAUUCACGGGUGAUGCACAUCAGUGGCGAGCCGCAACAGCACCGUGACUGUCCGCCUUCCCUCGGCCGACUCCGCCUCAAGUGAAUAUUGGUGCGGCGUGCAUACAUCAGCGGCGGCGAAACGGAGGUGGCCGGGUGGUAACGCUGGCCACGUGUGCUGUGCUGGUGGCUGUUAGGUGCCUUAUAACCAGCUCUUGUGUGUACGUUCUGCGAGGAUGAAUCAGCGGUAUUUGUUUCGUAAUUUUAUCUCACGUCUCCCUGUGCUAUGGAGGCAUUUGUAUGAAUGGGCUCUCAGAUGAAUCUAGAUGAAAGUGUAAUUGAUUUUAACAUGUAAGUGGAGCACUCUGUCCUUUGUUUAUAAUGACAAACACAGUGUACACACACCUUGGUGAAUCUGCUGCUCCUGCAUGAAGGCAUCCCCACAUUGUCAGUCAAACCCGGUGUGCUUGCCUACCGUGCUACCGCUCCCCUAAAGUUGUUUGAACUUGAAUUUCCAUAACAACACUCCGUUCUCGGCUAAAGUGGAUGAACUAUUAUUAUGAAUACAUAUUUAAUUGGUCAUUCAAAUCGUUGUGAUAAAAAAUGCAAACUCGUCCUCCCCCCCCCCACCAAUCAUUAGUCCGAGGCUCAUUUCACGCACAGGUGAUAAAAUCAAAUACAUUAAUUUAUGUUAAGUGUGCUAUAUAAAAUGUUAAAGCAAUGUUGAAUGCUAAAGCAAUGUUAAGGCAAUGUGCGUUGGUUUGUGUGCAUGCAUGUAAUAUUCCACUCUCAGAACUUAUUGACUGUCCACUAUAUAUAUAUCUUUAUAUAUAUAUAGAUUUCCUUUAUUGAAUUUAAAUGAAAGUGCAUUGAGAUGACAUUUCUCUUUUUCAAGGUUGACACAUAUAGUGUAAAUAUAUAACCUGGAUGUGUCCCCCGCACAUACCACACUCAUAAAUAUACUGGCUAUGUGCGUGGGCAAGAUAUUUACAAAUAUCUGUGUGCUCUCUCACUCAGUCUGACUUUCUGCUGGCUUGGAUUCAUUGGUGUCUGCGCCCAUAUUGGCCCAAAUUCCUCUUAUGUCCCCCCCCCACCCCCCCAACUGGUUUGUAAUCCCUCGACGCAUAACUGUGCAUGCUUCAGAAGCAAUCCAAUAAUGCACGCUAUUCAGACUCACUCCACCGAGCUUUAAUUAUUGCCAAUCAAUCAAAUGCACUGUAUGCAUGGAACGACCCAGCUUUGGGUUGGCUACAUGAUCAUAAUUAUUAUUUAUGCAACAACUAAUGUAAUGGAAGUGAACCCAAAACAAAGUAGUGGACACAUUUGUAUUGUUAUUGGUCUUAUGUGAGCAGUGUUCGCGCAAGUCGAAGUUGUGGCUGAUUAUUUAGCGAAAUGCCUUGUGAGAACGUGAGUUUAAACUCACGUAGGUUUUGACUCACACGGACACACCAUCCGCACAGUUUGAAAUGCAGACGUUUUAGAUCAUUUGCCUACUGGCUGCAAUGCGUACACGAUGAUGCACGGUCGCACACUGAUUUAGCGGCCAGGUUAAAUUUACAUCCCAAAAUUUGCCCUGCAUCGCUGAUGAGCAGCACACUGAUUAUUGCCUUUCACGUUUUACAUGUUUUGAAUGGAAAGUUAUUCCUUCAUAUUAACUGAAUACAAGAUUAACAAUGCUCCCCUCCCUCCCU